RNAcentral lists this long non-coding RNA (1168 nucleotides) under Brassica rapa (field mustard). RNAcentral's name for it is "long non-coding RNA (BRAP_LNC003223)". Lineage: Eukaryota; Viridiplantae; Streptophyta; Magnoliopsida; Brassicales; Brassicaceae. The record is from RNAcentral.
ACCAUUCUCCACCACCACCAGUAAAAUCCCCUCCACCUCCUUAUUACUACCACUCACCACCACCACCGGUUAAAUCUCCACCACCACCAUACUACUAUCAUUCACCACCUCCUCUGGUGAAGUCUCCUCCACCACCAUACUAUUACCAUUCACCACCACCUCCAGUAAAAUCUCCUCCCCCCCCAUACUACUAUCACUCCCCACCUCCUCCAGUGAAGUCUCCUCCGCCACCUUACUAUUAUCACUCCCCACCUCCUCCAGUAAAAUCACCACCACCACCAUAUUAUUACCACUCUCCACCUCCUCCCGUGAAAUCCCCCCCACCUCCAUACUACUACCACUCACCACCCCCUCCGGUAAAAUCACCCCCACCACCAUAUUACUAUCACUCCCCACCUCCACCAGUGAAAUCCCCACCACCACCGUACUACUACCAUUCUCCACCCCCACCGGUAAAAUCUCCGCCACCACCAUACUAUUACCACUCCCCACCUCCUCCGGUGAAAUCUCUACCACCACCGUACUAUUACCAUUCACCACCUCCUCCGGUGAAAUCUCCUCCUCCACCAUACUACUAUCACUCACCUCCUCCACCAGUAAAAUCUCCUCCGCCACCGUACUAUUACCACUCUCCACCUCCUCCAGUGAAGUCGCCUCCACCUCCUUAUUACUACCACUCACCUCCUCCUCCGGUGAAAUCCCCACCACCACCAUAUUAUUACCACUCACCACCCCCACCCGUCAAAUCUCCUCCACCUCCAUAUUAUUACCACUCACCACCUCCUCCGGUGAAAUCUCCACCACCACCAUAUUAUUACCACUCACCUCCUCCUCCGGUGAAAUCUCCACCACCACCAUAUUACUACCAUUCACCUCCCCCUCCAGUCAAAUCUCCACCACCACCAUAUUACUACCAUUCACCUCCCCCUCCAGUGAAAUCCCCACCACCACCAUAUUACUACCAUUCACCACCUCCUCCAGUGAAAUCUCCACCACCACCAUACUACUACAACUCUCCACCACCACCAGUAAAAUCUCCCCCACCUCCCGUCUACAUCUACGCUUCUCCCCCACCUCCUACCCAUUACUAGGCUCGUCAAAUUCAACCAAGUUUCCCCAUUAUUCAAGUAAGUCCCAAGGCUCCAAUAUUCUAAGUAUGCUCCAUAUC